RNAcentral lists this long non-coding RNA (1420 nucleotides) under Elaeis guineensis (African oil palm). RNAcentral's name for it is "long non-coding RNA (EGUI_LNC013731)". Lineage: Eukaryota; Viridiplantae; Streptophyta; Magnoliopsida; Arecales; Arecaceae. The record is from RNAcentral.
AGGGUAUAAAUAUCAUCCAUAUCAUUAAUUCUUCAACUGUGACACUCUUCUUCAUGAUUUCAAUAUUAUGAGUUUCUUUCUCUUUAGUUUUCUUCCCCUGGCCAGUUAUAUAUGGUUCUUUGUAGCUUAUUAGUGGUCUUUGGGCUGUGAUAAGUUCCCUAAGGAGUUUAGGUAGUUCCUUUUGUUUCCCUUUUAAUUCAUAUCACUUACUUUUUUUUUUUUUUUGCAAUUAUGAGGGACUAGUUUUCUGUAUUCUGUUAUCACUUAUUGAUAUUGGAGGCCAGGCAUGAGAAUUGUCAUCUGAUCAUUAGAUGAUUCAAAGAUGUAUUUUCUUUUCAUUUCAUCAAUCCAUGCACUUCCUUUUGUCACUCUGUAGAAAUUAGCAGUGUAUUCGUGUUAGGAAAGAACGAGGUCUGUCUUCUUCAUUAUUUUUCUCGAGAUAUUACAUGCUAUCUUGCCGAACCUUUUUUCCCCUAUGAUGUGUUUGUUUUUUUGUGAUUCCAGUAUUACCUUUUUUCCCAAAUUUGCUACAAAUUCAUCCUUUUCCAACCUNNNNNNNNNNNNNNNNNNNNAUGAUUACAAAGAUGUUAUUUUCUUUCUAUUUCAUCAAUCCAUGCACUUCCUUUUGUCACUCUGUAGAAAUUAGCAGUGUAUUCGUGUUAGGAAAGAACGAGGUCUGUCUUCUUCAUUAUUUUUCUCGAGAUAUUACAUGCUAUCUUGCCGAACCUUUUUUCCCCUUAUGAUGUGUGUUUUUUUUUUUUUUGUGAUUCCAGUAUUACCUUUUUUUUCCCAAAUUUGCUACAAAUUCAUCCUUUUCCAACCUUCUGUAUUCUGGUUGUCCAGAUUGUCUUUUCUUGUAUGCUAUUUCUGAUUUCUUUAUUCUGUUCUGGGGUGCAGAUGCAAGAUGUAUCCUGAUUUGGCUGAGAAGACCAGCACCUCUGAAACCAUGAUCCUUGGAGUUGCACCUCCGAAGGGGUUUGUUUCUACCAUGAAUUUUAAUUAUUAAUCCUCUCUUAAAAUUGUGACAUGAAUCCAAAUUAUUAAAAGGAGAAACAAUAGGAUCAUAUUAUAUGGUAUACAUAGUUUCCUUGCUCAUUUUCAGAAAAAUACUACUUAUGUUUCAUGGACCAACCAACCUUAAGUUUCUCUCUACUUAAUGUUUAAUUUAAGAGAGAGACCUUAAUAUUACUGAUGAUAAAUUUUGGCUAUACAUAACUCUUCAGCUUUUCUACUCUUGAUUAUAGGCACUCCGAAGGGUUUGAGAUGGCUACUGGAUCCCAGACCGAAGCUUGCAAGUGCGGAUCCAACUGCACCUGUAACCCCUGCACCUGCUAAUAACCCAGCGAGGUGCUUGCCUUAAAAGCCUAGGUUUGCAGAUAUGCUGGUGUGGUGUGUGUCGCUUUGUGUGAAGACUAGUAAA